This 429-nucleotide ribosomal RNA is filed under the name Bacteroidota bacterium. RNAcentral's name for it is "Bacteroidetes bacterium partial 16S ribosomal RNA". It matches the Rfam family "Bacterial small subunit ribosomal RNA", at positions 355 to 776 of the family's 1533-position model. Lineage: Bacteria; Pseudomonadati; Bacteroidota. The record is from RNAcentral.
UAGGGAAUCUUCGGCAAUGGGGGGAACCCUGACCGAGCAACGCCGCGUGAGUGAAGAAGGUUUUCGGAUCGUAAAGCUCUGUUGUUAAGGAAGAACGAGUGUGAGAAUGGAAAGUUCAUACUGUGACGGUACUUAACCAGAAAGGGACGGCUAACUACGUGCCAGCAGCCGCGGUAAUACGUAGGUCCCGAGCGUUGUCCGGAUUUAUUGGGCGUAAAGCGAGCGCAGGCGGUUAGAUAAGUCGAAUGUUAAAGAUCGGGGCUCAACCCCGUAAAGCAUUGGAAACUGAUAAACUUGAGUAGUGGAGAGGAAAGUGGAAUUCCUAGUGUAGUGGUGAAAUACGUAGAUAUUAGGAGGAAUACCAGUAGCGAAGGCGACUUUCUGGACACAAACUGACGCUGAGGUACGAAAGCGUGGGGAGCAAACAGG